GCAGUGGGGAAUUUUCCGCAAUGGGCGAAAGCCUGACGGAGCAAUACCGCGUGAGGGAAGACGGCCUAUGGGUUGUAAACCUCUUUUUUCAGGGAGGAACAAAAUGACGUGUACCUGAAGAAUAAGCAUCGGCUAACUCCGUGCCAGCAGCCGCGGUAAGACGGAGGAUGCAAGUGUUAUCCGGAAUUACUGGGCGUAAAGCGUCUGUAGGUGGUUUGGUAAGUCAACUGUUAAAUCUUGAGGCUCAACUUCAAAACAGCAGUCGAAACUAUCAGACUAGAGUAUAGUAGGGGUAAAGGGAAUUUCCAGUGGAGCGGUGAAAUGCGUAGAUAUUGGAAAGAACAC
RNAcentral lists this ribosomal RNA (345 nucleotides) under uncultured phototrophic eukaryote. RNAcentral's name for it is "bacterial SSU rRNA". It matches the Rfam family "Bacterial small subunit ribosomal RNA", at positions 351 to 709 of the family's 1533-position model. The record is from RNAcentral.